RNAcentral lists this ribosomal RNA (216 nucleotides) under Glomeromycotina sp. Its description in RNAcentral is "partial small subunit ribosomal RNA". The stretch from base 40 to 216 matches the Rfam family "Eukaryotic small subunit ribosomal RNA", at positions 686 to 864 of the family's 1831-position model. The record is from RNAcentral. Lineage: Eukaryota; Fungi; Glomeromycota.
GGGUCAGUGGGUUGGUCGUGCCACCGGUACGUACUGGUCUCACUGAUUCCUCCUUCCUGAAGAACCGUAAUGCCAUUAAUUUGGUGUUGCGGGGAAACAGGACUGUUACUUUGAAAAAAUUAGAGUGUUUAAAGCAAGCUAACGCUUGAAUAAAUUAGCAUGGAAUAAUGAAAUAGGACGAUCGAUCCUAUUUUGUUGGUUUCUAGGAUUGACGUA